Molecule: transfer RNA, 71 nt
Filed under: Camelus bactrianus (Bactrian camel)
Lineage: Eukaryota; Metazoa; Chordata; Mammalia; Artiodactyla; Camelidae
Also listed under: 3 other names
Rfam family: tRNA
About the family: Transfer RNA (tRNA) molecules are approximately 80 nucleotides in length. Their secondary structure includes four short double-helical elements and three loops (D, anti-codon, and T loops). Further hydrogen bonds mediate the characteristic L-shaped molecular structure. tRNAs have two regions of fundamental functional importance: the anti-codon, which is responsible for specific mRNA codon recognition, and the 3' end, to which the tRNAs corresponding amino acid is attached (by aminoacyl-tRNA synthetases). tRNAs cope with the degeneracy of the genetic code in two manners: having more than one tRNA (with a specific anti-codon) for a particular amino acid; and 'wobble' base-pairing, i.e. permitting non-standard base-pairing at the 3rd anti-codon position.
Source: Rfam by way of RNAcentral
GAGGGCAUAGCUCAGUGGUAGAGUGUGUGCCUAGCAUCACAAGAUCCUGGGUUCAAUCCCCAGUAUCUCCC